UUCCCGUCUGGAAACCCGGAGGUACUGCUGUUCGUGCUCAGACUGCCGCCGCUGCCGCUGCCGCUGUAACCGGAUGAGUGGACCACUGUGAGAGGGAGGCUCUGGGGACAAAAGAAGACUAAGACAAAACCUCUGCCUACAACAGAGUGUCUACAGCACCAAGAGACACAGAAGAGAAGACUGAGACAGACAGAGGAGAAGGCACUGUGAAGACAGAAGUAGAGACUGGAGUGAUGAAUCUACGAGCCAAGGAAUAUCAAGGACUGCUGGCAACUACAAACUGGGAAAGAAGGAUGGAACGGAUUCUCCCUCAGAGGACCCAGAAAAAAAAUCUACUCUCCCAACACCCUGAAUUUGGAGUUCUAGCCUCUGGAACUGUCAGAGAAAUAAAUUUCUGUUGU
Long non-coding RNA from Suricata suricatta (meerkat), 401 nucleotides. RefSeq lists it as uncharacterized. The record is from RefSeq and is a predicted model, not a curated record. The transcript has 3 exons. NCBI's taxonomy places the organism in Eukaryota, Metazoa, Chordata, Mammalia, Carnivora, Herpestidae.